UGGGGAAUAUUGCACAAUGGGCGAAAGCCUGAUGCAGCAACGCCGCGUGAGUGAUGAAGGCCUUCGGGUUGUAAAGCUCUGUCUUCUGGGACGAUAAUGACGGUACCAGAGGAGGAAGCCACGGCUAACUACGUGCCAGCAGCCGCGGUAAUACGUAGGGGGCGAGCGUUGUCCGGAAUUACUGGGCGUAAAGGGUGCGUAGGCGGUUCUUUAAGUUGGAUGUGAAAUACCCGGGCUUAACCUGGGGGGUGCAUUCAAGACUGGGGAACUAGAGUUCAGGAGAGGGCAGCGGAAUUCCUAGUGUAGCGGUGAAAUGCGUAGAUAUUAGGAGGAACACCAGUGGCGAAGGCGGCUUUCUGGACUGACACUGACGCUGAGGCACGAAAGCGUGGGGAGCAAACA
This 402-nucleotide ribosomal RNA is filed under the name uncultured bacterium. RNAcentral's name for it is "bacterial SSU rRNA". It matches the Rfam family "Bacterial small subunit ribosomal RNA", at positions 355 to 774 of the family's 1533-position model. The record is from RNAcentral.